CAAUCAAGUGUCUUAAGGGCGUUCAGGGAAUGCCUUGGCAGAUGCAGGCGAUGAAGGACGCGCCAUGCUGCGAAAAGCCUCGGGGAGCUGCAAGGAAGCUUUGAUCCGGGGGUGUCCGAAUGGGGAAACCCACCUCUAAGCCUGAAUUGAUAAGCUCGCUUAUUUUCUCCGGAAAAGACGCGGGCUUAUUUUUCAGGCUUUAUAACGAGGUAUUUUAAAGCUGAAUACAUAGGCUUUAAAAAGCGAACCCGGGGAACUGAAACAUCUCAGUACCCGGAGGAAAGGAAAUCAACCGAGACUCCCAAAGUAGCGGCGAGCGAAAUGGGACCAGGCGAUCAGCGCGUACGAACGGGAAUCUUCUGGAAAGGAGAGCCGCAGCGGGUGACAGCCCCGUACCGGCAGGAAGCGCUGACAUAUCAAGUAGGGCGGAACACGUGAAAUUCUGUCCGAAGAUGGGGGGAACACCCUCCAAGCCUAAGUACUCGCAUCUGACCGAUAGUGAACUAGUACCGUGAGGGAAAGGUGAAAAGCACCCCAACGAGGGGAGUGAAACAGACCUGAAACUGAACGCUUACAAGCAGUCGGAGGGCCUUUAUGGCCUGACGGCGUACCUUUUGUAUAAUGGGUCAGCGACUUAGUCUCUCUAGCAAGCUUAAGCCGUUAGGCGUAGGCGCAGCGAAAGCGAGUCUGAAUAGGGCGUCUUAGUUAGAGGGAUUAGACCCGAAACCCGGUGAUCUAGAUAUGAGCAGGAUGAAGGUAAGGUAACACUUACUGGAGGUCCGAACCCGUACACGUUGAAAAGUGUUGGGAUGACUUGUGUCUAGGGGUGAAAGGCCAAUCAAACCGGGAGAUAGCUGGUUCUCCGCGAAAUCUAUUUAGGUAGAGCGUCGCACGAAUACCCUCGGGGGUAGAGCACUGGAUGGGCUAUGGGGGCUUACCGCCUUACUGAUCCUAACCAAACUCCGAAUACCGAGGAGUACUAUGCGGCAGACACACUGCGGGUGCUAAGGUCCGUAGUGGAAAGGGAAACAGCCCUGACCGACAGCUAAGGUCCCCAAGUCAUGGCUAAGUGGGAAAGGAUGUAGGGAUCCCAAAACAACCAGGAUGUUGGCUUAGAAGCAGCCAUCAUUUAAAGAAAGCGUAACAGCUCACUGGUCUAAAUAAGGGUCCCCGCGCCGAAAAUGUAACGGGGCUAAAGCCAUGCACCGAAGCUUCGGGCUUGCUUUUGCAAGCGGUAGCGGAGCGUUCUCUAUGCGGAUGAAGUCGGACCCGCGAGGGCCGAUGGACGUAUGAGAAGUGAGAAUGCUGACACGAGUAGCGAUAAAGAGGGUGAGAGACCCUCUCGCCGAAAGUCCAAGGGUUCCUGCGCAAUGCUAAUCAGCGCAGGGUUAGCCGGCCCCUAAGGCGAGGCCGAAAGGCGUAGUCGAUGGGAACACUGUCAAUAUUCAGUGGCCAGAGGAUGUGUGACGGAUUUCGUAACUUGUUCAACCUUAUUGGAUUGGUUGGGCAGGGAAGAAGUUCCUGGAAAUAGCCUCCUCAUAAGACCGUACCCGAAACCGACACAGGUGGACUGGUAGAGCAUACCAAGGCGCUUGAGAGAACUGCAUUGAAGGAACUCUGCAAAUUACUCCCGUAAGUUCGCGAGAAGGGAGCCCGCUUUCAAGGCAACUUGGGGGCGGGGGCACUAACCAGGUGGUAUCGACUGUUUAUCAAAAACACAGGGCUCUGCGAAGUCGCAAGACGACGUAUAGGGUCUGACGCCUGCCCGGUGCCGGAAGGUUAAAAGGAGGGGUGCAAGCUCCGAAUUGAAGCCCCGGUAAACGGCGGCCGUAACUAUAACGGUCCUAAGGUAGCGAAAUUCCUUGUCGGGUAAGUUCCGACCUGCACGAAUGGCGUAACGAAUUCCACACUGUCUCCAAUGCAGACUCAGCGAAACUGAAUUCUCCGUGAAGAUGCGGAGUACCCGCGGUCAGACGGAAAGACCCCGUGCACCUUUACUACAGCUUUACAGUGGCAUUAGCGUCAACUUGUGUAGCAUAGGCGGGAGGCUUUGAAACGGAGGCGCCAGCUUUCGUGGAGCCACAGGUGAAAUACCGCCCUUGUUGUCGCUGGUGUCUAACCGCGGUCCGUGAACCCGGAUCCGGGACCCUGUAUGGCGGGUAGUUUGACUGGGGCGGUCGCCUCCUAAAUGGUAACGGAGGCGCGCGAUAGGUGGGCUCAGACCGGUCGGAAAUCGGUCGUCGAGUGCAAUGGCAUAAGCCCGCUAGACUGCGAGACUGACAAGUCGAGCAGAGACGAAAGUCGGCCAUAGUGAUCCGGUGGUUCUUCGUGUGAGGGCCAUCGCUCAACGGAUAAAAGGUACGCCGGGGAUAACAGGCUGAUGAUGCCCAAGAGUCCAUAUCGACGGCAUUGUUUGGCACCUCGAUGUCGGCUCAUCGCAUCCUGGGGCUGGAGCAGGUCCCAAGGGUUUGGCUGUUCGCCAAUUAAAGCGGUACGUGAGCUGGGUUCAGAACGUCGUGAGACAGUUCGGUCCCUAUCUGCCGUGGGUGUAGGAAUAUUGAGAGGAGCUGUCCUUAGUACGAGAGGACCGGGAUGGACACACCUCUGGUGGACCAGUCGUCGCGCCAGCGGCGCAGCUGGGUAGCUAUGUGUUGAACGGAUAACCGCUGAAGGCAUCUAAGCGGGAAGCCGGCCUCAAAACAAAUAUUCCCUUGAGAGCCGUGGAAGACCACCACGUUGAUAGGUCGGGUGUGGAAGCGCAGCAAUGCGUGGAGCUUACCGAUACUAAUUGCUCGAUUGGCUUGAUUGUCCUCAUG
This 2816-nucleotide ribosomal RNA is filed under the name Hyphococcus luteus. RNAcentral's name for it is "bacterial LSU rRNA". It matches the Rfam family "Bacterial large subunit ribosomal RNA". The record is from RNAcentral. Lineage: Bacteria; Pseudomonadati; Pseudomonadota; Alphaproteobacteria; Parvularculales; Parvularculaceae.